This 903-nucleotide long non-coding RNA is filed under the name Chrysemys picta bellii (western painted turtle). Its description in RNAcentral is "lncRNA (ENSCPBG00000003238.1)". The record is from RNAcentral. Lineage: Eukaryota; Metazoa; Chordata; Testudines; Emydidae.
GGAGACUGUAAAACAAGCAGCUUUCCGAAUCGAAAUCAGCAACAGCCUUUCUGCCGAGGGCGGUUCGAGUCUUUAAGGAGUGCCCUUCAAAUCAAGGAAGAUGACUACCCCUCUCCUACAAGGCGGCCAUCACCAACCAUUGCUGAACUGAUUGGAACCAGAUAUGCCGUGAUGUCUGAAAUGGAGGGAUCCCGCCAAAGAGAUGGUUGUGCGAUAUCUUCAAGAGCCAGGGUCUGUUUCCAUUGCCAUAAGCAGAUGGUCUUUCUGUGGCCUUACAGAUGUCAUCUCUGUAGCAGGUAAGCUGGUGUAGAAGGACUUUAUGGGGCGGAAGAAAGAAUCAUAAAAACUACUCUAAAUUGUCCAAUUGCAGCACUCCAUGGAGCAAGUUGUUUAUCCCUUUAAUUUUGCCUGAAGAGUUGGGCUCUAUCGUAACUGUUUUCUCAUGGUUAUGGGUGAAGGGAAGACUGUCACUUUGUAGUGUCUUAGUUUAUUAAUUCUUAAAAUUCAUGAAAGAUAAUUAAAUUCUUACCCUUCAAGAACCAUGCUUGUUCCCCUGUGCUUGACACUGCAAAGGUGGAAUCUGAUCGUCCCCAAAGUCCUGGGGCAGAGGUUGGCUUGGUUCUAGAUCAGGUCCUAGGCAAAUGCUCCAAGUCAGGAUCUUAUGGAUGGACUUCGAAAUUAUCUGAAUCCUUCAGUGACUUGGAGCAGGUUGAGACCCCCUCUAUUCGCUCAUAAACUGUAAGAUUUGUUCAUGGGGCGGAAACAAAUCUGGGGCCUGUUAUAAACUUAGUCAUUUUAACUAAAUUUGAGGCAGAAGUAGUUCGUUAACCGUGGGUCGUCCAGCAGCGAUCAAACACCCUGUGAUUUGGUGACCCAGUCACAUAGCACUAGUACUGAAUUCUG